UCUGGUGGUGAGGAGACUGUGUACUGCGAUUAAACGUGACAUGCCUAUUGCAGUCUAACAUAUAUGGGCUAUUCAAUUCAUGUUUAUUAAUUAUAUUUCUGGAAGCUCUCACUGUGACAAAAGGAUGAUGCGUGAGGUACCACAGAGACUCUAAAGCAGAGCUAAAGGGAAUUGGAGCAAACCGAAGAAGGUUGUCCAGCUGCUGAUAGAGUAGGUGUAAAGGAGAGUCCUAGAGGGGGAGAACCUCCUUUGCGCUCACUCGGCUCACACUGAAUGGAGCGCAUCACGAUAUCCCCACUUAUACAUCUUCUCAAUGGUUCUCCCUACCUGACCUUACCCACGACUUCCACUAGGGGUCCUUGUGCUCUGUUGCAAAUCAGUCCUGAGAGCUGCAGUAUUAUGGCCAGUCAGUGUGCUCAGGGCCAGAUAGCAGCAAAUCUGUUAGAAGUGUCCUGAGGAUCACACAGAAAUAGAAAGAGCCAUUUGUGCAUCAGACUAGCAUGCAACGUAAUCUGGGUUGGCGAAUCAGUCUGAAUUGAAUCAGCUCGGAUCACUUACUCACUCACUGAACCGAAGGUUAUCAUAACCUGAAAUGAGCUGAGGACCAUUAUGUGUUCAUUUUGAAAUACAAAUUUGCAUGAUUAGGGCAACAGUUUUGUUACUAUAAAUGGUAUAUUAAUUUUAACACCAUGUAUAAAAAAGCAUUAA
This is a long non-coding RNA of Carassius auratus (goldfish), 708 nucleotides long. RefSeq lists it as uncharacterized. NCBI's taxonomy places the organism in Eukaryota, Metazoa, Chordata, Actinopteri, Cypriniformes, Cyprinidae. The transcript is spliced from 4 exons. The record is from RefSeq and is a predicted model, not a curated record.